CAAGAAAUAGUUUAAUAAAAACACUAACUUUGGAAGUUAAAAUUCAGGUUACCCUGUUUCUUGA
This 64-nucleotide transfer RNA is filed under the name Nipponnemertes punctatula. RNAcentral's name for it is "tRNA-Pro". It matches the Rfam family "tRNA". Rfam says of the family: Transfer RNA (tRNA) molecules are approximately 80 nucleotides in length. Their secondary structure includes four short double-helical elements and three loops (D, anti-codon, and T loops). Further hydrogen bonds mediate the characteristic L-shaped molecular structure. tRNAs have two regions of fundamental functional importance: the anti-codon, which is responsible for specific mRNA codon recognition, and the 3' end, to which the tRNAs corresponding amino acid is attached (by aminoacyl-tRNA synthetases). tRNAs cope with the degeneracy of the genetic code in two manners: having more than one tRNA (with a specific anti-codon) for a particular amino acid; and 'wobble' base-pairing, i.e. permitting non-standard base-pairing at the 3rd anti-codon position. The record is from RNAcentral. Lineage: Eukaryota; Metazoa; Nemertea; Enopla; Monostilifera; Cratenemertidae.